RNAcentral lists this ribosomal RNA (465 nucleotides) under uncultured bacterium. RNAcentral describes it as "partial 16S ribosomal RNA". It matches the Rfam family "Bacterial small subunit ribosomal RNA", at positions 28 to 507 of the family's 1533-position model. The record is from RNAcentral.
GACGAACGCUGGCGGCGUGCUUAGCACAUGCAAGUCGAACGCUGAACCCGCUUCGGUGGGGGAUGAGUGGCGAACGGGUGAGUAGCACGUGGGCAACCUGCCCCCGGCUCUGGGAUAACUCCAAGAAAUUGGGGCUAAUACCGGAUGUGACCGCUGGCCGCAUGGUCUGGUGGUGGAAAGGGUUUCCGGCUGGGGAUGGGCCCGCGGCCUAUCAGCUUGUUGGUGGGGUAGUGGCCUACCAAGGCGACGACGGGUAGCCGGCCUGAGAGGGUGACCGGCCACACUGGGACUGAGACACGGCCCAGACUCCUACGGGAGGCAGCAGUGGGGAAUAUUGCGCAAUGGGCGGAAGCCUGACGCAGCGACGCCGCGUGGGGGAUGACGGCCUUCGGGUUGUAAACCUCUUUCAGCAGGGACGAAGCGCAAGUGACGGUACCUGCAGAAGAAGCACCGGCCAACUACGUG